Molecule: non-coding RNA, 1438 nt
Organism: Chrysemys picta bellii (western painted turtle)
Lineage: Eukaryota; Metazoa; Chordata; Testudines; Emydidae
Source: RefSeq, a predicted model, not a curated record
AUGAUGUCUCAGAUUAAAACGGCAGAACAUCCGUCCUGGUGUCUGCUAUUGUAUCUCGGUAGUGAGCCAGGCUCCUGCCAAAUAGAUCGAUACUGCUUUAAACCCCCCUGCUGUCAGGAAAUUGAAAAAAAAUAUGCAGCCGCGGGCCUGAUUUGCAAACGGCUGGAAGGAACGCGCCGGAGAGAGACUGCGAGCGUGUGUCUGUAGCCAGCAGGGUUUGCAGGCGAGUGUGGCGUGAGAAACGAGAUGUACAGUAUGUGAGCGCAUGUGUGCAUUCCACACACACACACACACACACACACACACGUGUGUGUAUACCGUCUACGCACACAACAAGUGUGCGUGUGCACACCCAUGCUCCCGCAGACCGAACAGAGGCUGGCUCACACACACGCCUAUUUUUCACCUGCAAACGCCUCCUGGGUUUCCAGCGGAGGGACUGGAGGCCAGAGAGAGACAGGGGCCAUGUGUGCACGGCCCCUUUAAGAGCCCCGGGUGCGCGCAAAAGCCCGACUCCCCUUUUCCCCGCGCGCCCCCGCCUCCUCUCUCCCUCACUCCGCUUUAAAGUCUGAGCCAGGCGCCGGGCUCACAUGGUGCGUCCUGCAUGGAGGAAUGGAGCGCGCCCGGCUGCCGUCUGACCGCCGCCGAGCCGCCGCUGCCCGGGGCACGGACUGAGAGCCUGCGCCCGGCCCCUGCCAUGGCUUGGCCCCGGAGGCUGCCUGCAUGAGGAGCGAGGGAGAGCCCCAGCUCCAGCCCCGCCACGGCGCUUCUCCUCCGGCCGCCGCCGCCGCUCGGGGAGUGAAGUUCUGAGCGCUCCCCGGGAGCCGACCCAGCCGCCGCGGGGCUGCUCCGGGCCUGGCGCUUGCUGCGUCCGGGACCUGCUGCUCCGGCCCCCCAGCACCCCCGCUUUGCCCCCGGCCGGGGCGGGUGACCCGGGGACGUGGGGCGGGGUUGGUCUGGUUGGCUGGCUGGGUUUUUUUGGGGGGGUGGGUGGCUGGCUGGGGAAAGGGGGAGGACAAGCGGCAACUUCUUCUCCACAAGUUCCAGCCCCCUCCUCGCCCCCUUUCGAUGUGCGCCUUUGGACAUGCGGAGGCUACUGCAACCGUGUUGGUGGAUCUUUUUCUUGAAAAUCACCAGCUCCGUGCUCCAGUAUGUGGUGUGCUUCCCCGAUCACUGUGGCAGUUUUAUGUCUAAAUUAAAAGGUCUUCCCAUGCGUGAUGCACUAAAAUGAAUAUUCUCAAGUGGUGGUUGUUGAAGGGGAGAACACUGAUUCAAUUGCUACUAAAUCUGCGUAAACAUCUACCGUCAAUAAUGCAAUGUCUUGUCAACUUUAACCAACUGAUAUUACUUCAUGCCAAAAAUCUGGGAAGUUCAGUGGCUUUAGGGGACCAAAUGUUUAUGCAAUCUGCAACUCAACAAUAAACUAAUUGCUUUCUAA